UGGGGAAUAUUGGACAAUGGGGGCAACCCUGAUCCAGCAAUGCCGCGUGUGUGAAGAAGGUCUUCGGAUUGUAAAGCACUUUCGACGGGGACGAUGAUGACGGUACCCGUAGAAGAAGCCCCGGCUAACUUCGUGCCAGCAGCCGCGGUAAUACGAAGGGGGCUAGCGUUGCUCGGAAUGACUGGGCGUAAAGGGCGUGUAGGCGGUUUAGCACAGUCAGAUGUGAAAUCCCCGGGCUUAACCUGGGAGCUGCAUUUGAUACGUGUAGACUAGAGUGUGAGAGAGGGUUUGUGGAAUUCCCAGUGUAGAGGU
This 312-nucleotide ribosomal RNA is filed under the name uncultured bacterium. Its description in RNAcentral is "partial 16S ribosomal RNA". It matches the Rfam family "Bacterial small subunit ribosomal RNA", at positions 355 to 682 of the family's 1533-position model. The record is from RNAcentral.